RNAcentral lists this transfer RNA (74 nucleotides) under Cordylochernes scorpioides. Its description in RNAcentral is "tRNA-Thr". It matches the Rfam family "tRNA". From Rfam's summary of the family: Transfer RNA (tRNA) molecules are approximately 80 nucleotides in length. Lineage: Eukaryota; Metazoa; Arthropoda; Arachnida; Pseudoscorpiones; Chernetidae. The record is from RNAcentral.
AUCAGGGUAACCUAGUGGACAUGGCAUCUGCCCGGUAAGCGGAACACUGUGGGUUCGAUUCCCAUCCCUGGACU